AGUAGCUGCAUCACUGAAGGCUAGCUGUUGCCUCGCGCUGUCUCUUGGGAAUUCAGUUGUAGCAGGAAAAAGGAACAGUAAUUUACAGAUGGGAG
Long non-coding RNA from Etheostoma spectabile (orangethroat darter), 95 nucleotides. RefSeq lists it as uncharacterized. NCBI's taxonomy places the organism in Eukaryota, Metazoa, Chordata, Actinopteri, Perciformes, Percidae. The transcript is spliced from 3 exons. The record is from RefSeq and is a predicted model, not a curated record.